AAGGCAUGUUGGUUUUGUGCAAUCUGUUGAGUUGGCUUUAUCAAAGGGCUUCCCCGAGGUACUUGUGCAAGCUGAAGGUCUGAAAAAAAUUCCCCUUGCGUCUGCACUGAUGUGGAUAUAUCUGCUCUGUCAACUGGCAAGGAGCAGAAAGUUUUAGCCUUUACAUAGUAAUUUCUGUGUGAUGAAAACAGAAAUGCCACUGAGAUUCUUAGCAAUGAGGCAACAUGGGUCUCUCUUCCCAAGUAAAAAGUGGUAAGAUGAGGGGAAACAGCCUCAAGUUGCUCCAGGGGAGGUCUAGAUGGGCUAUCAGGAAAGAUUUCUUCACUGACUUGGAACGGGCUGCCCAGGGAAGUGGUUGAGUCACCAUCCCUGGAGGUAUUUAAAAGAUGUGUAGAUGUGGCACUUAGGGACAUAGUUUAGUGGUGGACUUUGCAGUGCUAGGUUAACGGUUGGACUAGAUGAUCUUAAGGGCCGUUUCCAACCUAAAUGAUUCUGUGAUUCUAUGAUUAAGAAUAUCACUUACCAGUUUGAUCGUCAGUGUCAGAAACUGCAACGUAAGAAGAGAAAGUUAUUUGGUGAGAAUAAGAGAAGCUGGAAAAAAAAUUUACUCAAGCAUUAUUAUUACACAGGAGAUGAAAGCCUUGAAGGGAGAUUACUAAACCAAAACUGCUUUUUGCGGAUGCCCAUGCAGAGGUUCAAGCUGAAUCUCUGAUCAGGAUAGGUUGUUCAACUGGCAAGAAACUUUCUCUUUUACUAACUUUACAUAAUAGCUAACGCUUCACAAAGAUAAGCAACCAUCUAAAGUGAUGUCUCAAUUUUUGAGACAGCCUUGGAAUUUAGGCAGUGUUUGGCUUCCUAGAACUACACUUUCAGUAGCCCCUUGAGCCAGUUUCUUUGAUGUUACACAAUCUCACCAAUAUUGUUGAGCACAGCUGAGGCACACGCACAGGCAACAGUGAUUAAGAGAAAAGGAUAAAUUCUGACAAAAGCACAAGAUACAAUGAAAGAAGAACAUAAAACCAAAGCGGUUGUCUUAAAUCUUUUAUCAUUGUUAGAGGACAAAGCUUAGAGAUGAGUUUAAGAAAACCGCUACUUCGGACAACAUUGAGAAACAAAUCUAUCUAGGAAAUCAAAGUGUUAAAAUACAUUUCUCUUAUACUUGUAAGUUUACAAGAAAAACAUUUACAUGUCUUUUUUAACUAAUCACCUGGAAUUGCAAACUGGCACAUGAAAGUCAAGCCAGAUACAUUCUCUAUGCACCUUUAUCGCACCACUAUCCCCUCAUCAGUCAACUGUGCAGGCCCAGCAGGAGCAGGUAGUGCGCAGGAGGAACACACUUGCAAUCAAGAGGACAGAAUCAAACCACAGAUAACCACAACUGUUCAGCAGUAGGAGCCAUUGUCACUGAGCACAUGCCAGCUCUGAAUUGCCUGGCUGCUUUUUGGUGGCAUUUUCCUGCUCGCUUUGCCAGUUACCAUGAGUCAAUAGAUAAGAGCUCACCCCAGCGCUUACAGUCAUCCAUCUACUGUCACGCAUCAGCUAUUCUGUGGGUGAUGCAGCGACCAGCACAAUCUGCCACAGCUAUACAGAAUCCUGAGAUGAAGGGCACACAGUUCUCAUUUGUUGGUACUACAGGGAAGACACUCUCCAGAGCUACCAUGAUGCUCUCCUCUUAAACAAGACACACAAACCUGUGUCUCCUCCUCUGUUGGUGCUUCUGCUGCAUUCUCAACUCCUGUCACACCAACUUGGCUUGGAGGCACAUAACCAUUUGCCUAGAAGAGGAAAUAAAGCUUUCACCAACAGCAUCUCUCUGUGUGUCCAAAGGGAAAUAAACUCAAUAGUUCAGCACAACUGCAAACCCUGCCCACUGGAAGGAUGAACUGCAGCACAAGAUCUGAGUGCAGAAGACACCAAAAACCUCAGCCACCUCGCAAUCAUCUCUCAUCAGUUUCAGUUCCAAAAUUGCUUUAAACUGUGCUUGCUGUCUUGCACACGAAUUAAAGAGCAAUAAUAACCAUUUCAUCCAAUACCUACAUACAACUGUCAGCAAGUUGUCAACAUCAACACACAAGAUAGAUCUGUGCACCAAUACAGACAUGAAGUACCAAAGGAACCAGUCACAGCCAUUAUCUAGUGGCAACAGCAAGGGUGGACCAGGGCACCAGAGAAAACAUCUCAAAACAGUGAUGUUGUUCUCAGAGUGAAUGUUCAAUAUAUUCAGCACUGCCCACCAAAUUAAAUUCCACUAGUGUAGAAAGGGAAUAGCACAAAGUUGGUGACAGCAAGUCAGUUUUACACAGCAAGGCAGUGUAAAAUAACACAUCUUACUUUCCUAAUUAUUCUGUAAGGAAGUGUGAGGUCCUCAAUUCAAAAUUAAAAAACAAACCUGAGAAGAGCAUGUAUAAAAUGCAACUGAAGUAUUCUGACAUCUGUUCUAAACAGAAGCCCUCCUUGCUUUAUAAGCAGGCAUCUUUAAUGUAAAACUUUUUUGGCACAUUAUCUACUUGGAAAACCUCAUGCAACAUCUUAGUAGUUAAUCCAAAAAUAGAGAUGAAUGAGUUUGCAAAAGAAGGUUCUGGCUAGAGACUGUACCUGUUGAUGUUCCUGAGCUAGUGAACUUGAGAUGGGAUCUGCAGACACUGGAGACUCAUCAUGUGAGGUAGAAGAUGCUGUGCUGGUUGGCGGGAGAAUCACGAAGUCUUGCUGUCCAGAGGCACUAGUAUUAAAUGGAUUUGUUCUUAUCUGAUCUUCCUGGGUAAUUACAGGCUGCUGGCCAAGAAUCAGAAAUACCAGGUCCUCCUUUUCACGACACAACUCUGUGGAAAUCUCACGGAGUGCCAAAUAGUCUCGCAGAUCCUUCACCUUCAUCUUUAUCAACUCUUCCCGCUGAAAAGCUGUGGCUCGGAAACGCUGGCAUAGGUGGCAGAGAAGGGGACCACCUUCAGGCUGGGUUGAGCAGGACGUACAAAAAUUCUUCUUACAGUCCAAGCAGAUGUGCUGGUAAAGAGAAGGGAACAGAAUCAAACCGAUCCACCAUGAUCUGCAAAGGUGCACAACGGCUGCAGGCAGUGCUCCCCUACCAUCUGGAAGGCAAAGGCUCGAUUUUCAGAAGUUCCAAGCACUCACAGUCCAUGUUGACUUCUGCAGAAACUUGACUGUUCAACACUUUGGAAAGUCAAAUUCUACAUUUUCCAAUAGGAACAGCAGCAGAACAGCCGCAUUACGUGCCUUUUAAAAAGUCCUGAGGGAAGAAAGAACUGGUUUCAGUGCUGGUUAAAAAUGCUAAUUCAGUGUCUCAGAGAAGACAAGCAUCUCUAUGAAAUCCUGCAAUCCUGACCCUUCAGAGCUAUGCAAGGAAAAAUACACAUGGAGAGUUGGAGAAGCAACAAACUCAGAGACAAAAAAUUGUUUCACGAAAUGCUUCUAGGAAUUAAAGAACAUUUUUGACUUCACAGUUC
This is a long non-coding RNA of Harpia harpyja (harpy eagle), 3461 nucleotides long. RefSeq lists it as uncharacterized. The transcript is spliced from 4 exons. The record is from RefSeq and is a predicted model, not a curated record. Lineage: Eukaryota; Metazoa; Chordata; Aves; Accipitriformes; Accipitridae.